GAUGAACGCUAGCGGCAGGCUUAACACAUGCAAGUCGAGGGGUAGAAGGAGCUUGCUCCUUUGAGACCGGCGCACGGGUGCGUAACGCGUAUGCAAUCUACCUUUUGCAGAGGGAUAGCCCAGAGAAAUUUGGAUUAAUACCUCAUAGUAUGUGAGGAUGGCAUCAUUUUCACAUUAAAGUCACAACGGCAAAGAUGAGCAUGCGUCCCAUUAGCUAGUUGGUAAGGUAACGGCUUACCAAGGCUACGAUGGGUAGGGUCCUGAGAGGGAGAUCCCCCACACUGGUACUGAGACACGGACCAGACUCCUACGGGAGGCAGCAGUGAGGAA
RNAcentral lists this ribosomal RNA (330 nucleotides) under uncultured bacterium. RNAcentral's name for it is "bacterial SSU rRNA". It matches the Rfam family "Bacterial small subunit ribosomal RNA", at positions 28 to 361 of the family's 1533-position model. The record is from RNAcentral.